Molecule: long non-coding RNA, 309 nt
Filed under: Elaeis guineensis (African oil palm)
Lineage: Eukaryota; Viridiplantae; Streptophyta; Magnoliopsida; Arecales; Arecaceae
Description: long non-coding RNA (EGUI_LNC068244)
Source: RNAcentral
CUGCUCCACCUUCUGUAAUGGAUACUGCACGAUUCUUCCAUCCACUGGCAAGUCGCGACAACGGAUGCCGCUCCACUCCCUGCGGCAGACUCCAUGUGGCGCGCUGCAGUGAGGGCCACGGGUCUACUCCACUACUCCUCGCAAUAAAUUUCUCUUGACGGUGGGCGGCCCACUACGAGACGGUUAUGAACGUCGCUAUCAGUCUGUUGAGCCCUCCGCCUAUAAAAAGGGGGAUCCCAGAUACGUUAUUCCAUAAGCUCUAGGUUUUUACCUAAAAACUCUGCUAAAUUCUCCGUUCGAGCACUCCAU